AUUGAACGCUGGCGGCAGGCCUAACACAUGCAAGUCGAACGAGUGGCGGACGGGUGAGUAAUGUCUGGGAAACUUCCUGAUGGAGGGGGAUAACUACUGGAAACGGUCGCUAAUACCGCAUACCAUCAGAUGUGCCCAGAUGGGAUUAGCUUGUGGGUGGGGUAACGGCUCACAAAGGCGACGAUCCCUAGCUGGUCUGAGAGGAUGACCGUCAAAACUGGAACUGAGACACGGUCAAGACCCCUACGGGAGGAGGCGGUGGGGAAUAUUGCACAAUGGGCACAAGCCUGCUGAAGCCAGGCCGCGUGUAUGAGGAAGGCCUUCGGGUGGUAAAGUACUUUCAGCGGGGAGGCGUUACCCGCAGAAGAAGCACCGGCUAACUCCGUGCCAGCAGCCGCGGUAAUAC
Molecule: ribosomal RNA, 406 nt
Filed under: uncultured bacterium
Lineage: Bacteria
Description: partial 16S ribosomal RNA
Rfam family: Bacterial small subunit ribosomal RNA
Source: RNAcentral